CAUCAGGUUGAAACACUGGUUCUCAUACGAUCACCUAAGUUAAGCAACAUCCAGCCUGGUCAUUACCGAGAUGCGUGACAGCGUGGGAAUACCAGAUGCUGUAGG
Molecule: non-coding RNA, 105 nt
Organism: Acanthosepion pharaonis
Lineage: Eukaryota; Metazoa; Mollusca; Cephalopoda; Sepiida; Sepiidae
Source: the annotation of a GenBank genome assembly